UACGUAGGGUGCAGGCGUUAAUCGGAAUUACUGGGCGUAAAGCGUGCGCAGGCGGUUUGCUAAGACAGAUGUGAAGUCCCCGGGCUUAACCUGGGAACUGCGUUUGUAACUGGCAAGCUAGAGUGUGGCAGAGGGGGGUGGAAUUCCAAGUGUAGCAGUGAAAUGCGUAGAUAUUUGGAGGAACACCGAUGGCGAAGGCAGCCCCCUGGGCUAACACUGACGCUCAUGCACGAAAGCGUGGGGAGCAAACAGG
RNAcentral lists this ribosomal RNA (253 nucleotides) under uncultured bacterium. Its description in RNAcentral is "partial 16S ribosomal RNA". It matches the Rfam family "Bacterial small subunit ribosomal RNA", at positions 524 to 776 of the family's 1533-position model. The record is from RNAcentral.